UUUCUUCUUCGCCCACCCUGAACCCCCGACGGUUCCCUCACUCUCAUUUCUCCUCCCAUUAUCUCUUGCCAUCUGCGCGCUCUCUCUCUCUCUCUCUCUCUCUCUCUCUCUCUCGGCCUCCCUGCACUGCCUUAUGCUUCCUAAUCCCAGCCAAUCCCAUGGGCCAUCACUCACAACCUUUGAAGCAGCUCGACCCUAUGAAUGGAGAGCCAAAAUUUCUUUCUUUUCCUGCUUUCCUGAAGUAGGGCAAAGGUUCCAAGACUCUCAAGGGGGAGAUGCUUGAAGCCAUUGCGCCUUUAGAUCGCGGAGCAGAUGCCACUGUCGAAGACCAGCAAAGCUGAUCUGAGAAAGCAGGAUGAAGUACCACUGGAAGCUACCCUCUGCAACAACAACAACAUCAAAGCUUUUUGCCCUGGUCAGUGUUCCCAUGAUCCCGUGAUUACAACUCUCUUCUCAUCUUGCUUCUUUCCUUCCAAUUUGAUAACAUCGGUUAUUUAUACCUAUUGCCAACUUCCGGAGUGCUUGUUUUCUACUUUUUAUGUUUUCUGGUUUCAUUAGAGGUCGUGAUAAAUGCUUAUGAGUUAUCACCAAAGCAUGGGAACCGAUCUUUUCUAAACUGAUUAGGUGGCAUAGACUAGGCCAAAAAAUAACAUAAUUGCUAUUCUAACACAAGUGAAAAUGUUUUCUAUCACUAAAACGUACCCUUUUUGCUCCUUUUAUCCCUGCAUCUUCUAACACAAGUGGAUUGUCAUAUAUAUCAUCAAGGAAGCUUAUGGAUAUCAUUUAGUAAACUCUGAUCAACAUGGAAGAUGCUUUGAGAAGCUUUAGUACACUAUGACCCAAUUUACUGAUUGUUUUUUCUUAAAGCAUUUCAUACUUUCUGAAGAGCAUGAGCACCUCUUUCCAAGAAUAUAAUGAUGCUUCCUCCUUCAUUCCCCCCUCUGGAGAAAAGAAUUUUCAGGAAAAAUGUUUGCUUUAGAAUUUCUUAGUUUGUUUUGCAUAGCCAGAAUGUUGCUUUCAUUUUUAAUGGUUUUUACAUGUAUGAUAACAAUGAGUUUUGUAUAGUUAUAUUAAUUUGAGCAUUUUUUGAAAAGGUGAGGAUUCGGUCUUGGAUGAAAUUGUGUGAACAAAAUAGGCUAGGUAUCCUUUGAUGGAAUAGUCUUUUUAGUUGAGGAUGAUUCACAUUCUGUAAGUAGCAGUGAGCAAAGCAUGCCAAAUCAAAUUUUUAUGUUGUAAUGUGAAAUCGAAUUGGGCAAUUAAUUAUGUGAUUCUACUCGAGGGAUCAAAUAAUAUAGCAUAUAUUUGUGAUUAGAUAUGUGAUUAGAUAAUCUAGCACCAUCUAUGUGCAUGCUAAAUAUGCUUUGAGAUUCUGAAAAGAUUUUGCUCUUUGCAAGUUGAGAGUCCCUGGAUGCUGCGUUCAUUGCAAAAGAAUGUGGCAGCUAUUGGAGUUGCACUCCAGGCUUUGUACUGGUUAUGAUGUUUGUAGGGUGCCUUUUGCGCAGGUGAACCAUUCUCUCUCCUCUUGCUUCUUUCCUUCCAGUUGAUAACAUAGCUACAUAUGUGGUUUAAGAGAUCUGAGUUUCUUGGAUCCAUAUUCGUCUAAAACAUCUGCCUAACUCAGGAAAAUACCGUCUUUUCAGGAACUUUAAAGAAAGUAUUAGGAGAUAGAGUACCAUUCUUGUCAUGGGAAUCGUGAGAUCUUCAUGAAAAAAAGUUUGCUUCUCCUAGAAUAAGCUUUUUGAACUUUAAGCUAGAUGUAAUUGCAUAUUUGUAGAGAAUAUUACAAACCCAACCACACCUCCCCCCCAACCCCCCCCCCCCCCCAAAAAAAAACUCACAAGUUGGGGAUGUUUCUCUGUAAUUGUCAUGUCUUGGUUUCUAUGUAAUUACUAAUUAUAAAUUGUUUCUAAUUUUUUUAUAUUUGUUAUUGCGUGCUUCCUUUUAUCAAAAGUAAAAAAAAUCUUACAAAUGGAUAUAGAAGAAAUUUCUUUUAUAUUCAUUUGUAAGAUUUUUUUUUUUUUUAGUUUUCAAGGGUUUUUUUUGUGGCAAAAUUAUUUCGCCGCAAAUUUUAUUUGUGAUAAAAAGGGGAGAAAAUGUCUUUUUGGUCACAUUUUUAUUUGCCAUGGUAUAUUCGCCACAAAUAGGUUUUUUCCAACCAAAAUUCAGUAUUAUAACUAAGAUUUGCUAGUGAGAAAAACUAGCCCGAAAAUUUUUUACCAGCAAUAGUUAACCAUGGUUGGUAUACAUUUGUGAUAACAACGAAGACUAUUUGUGGCAAUAUAAAUAACUGCAAAUUGUCAAUGUUUUUGCGACAUUAUUACUAUUCUAAUUCCAAGAUCAUUACAUGUUUUUGCAACAUUAUUACUAUUACUAUAAUAAUUCAUGAUUUUUCUAAACUCACAAAGAUCGAUCUUCAACCUUGAGCAUUGUGGACUUGGAGGAGGCUGAUAAUGAUAUAAAAUGAAGAUUUGGAUUUAGAACUUGGACUUGGAUGUGCAUAGUCAUAGAUGAGACCAACCUUUCUGCAGCAUGGGUGGGAUUUAGUUGGUGGUGGGCUCUUGGUGGGGUUUGUGUCAUGGUGACGAGUGCAAUUGACUUUGAAACUUCAUUAAGUGGCGAAGAAUCAGUCGCAUUGCCACAUUUGAAUUAUGAAGGUAGCCUCUUAUCAAAAUCAGGUCGCCUUAUGGCACUAUAUUUCUUAAUUUGUAGUUUGGAAGAUCUAUAUCUAUCGAGGAGUGACGUUAUUAGUCUUCCCACAUGCAUCAAAAGUGUUGUUGGACUAAAGCACCUUGUGUUGACGGAUUCCAAAAGCGUAAAAAAAUUUCCAAUUCAAUACCAACAACUUAAGAGCACUUAAAUGGAUUGAAUUGCUUGAUUGCUAUGAAAUGUAUGUGAAUAAAGGGAAUCAUGUGGCAAAUCCUUUGUUGACUGAGGUCUCUCUCUCUCUCUCUGUGUCUCUGAUGUUUCUUUCUUUUGAUACAUGUUUGUGUAUGUUUUGAUUUAUAAUUUUAUAGUUGAAGCUUUGUGACAUAUGUUUGGAAUUGGCGGCGUUUUAUUUCUGGGAAAUACGAUUCCUGAGUAGUUCAUCCACCUUAAGGAGGCUUCAAAUAAUACUGAAUCAUGUGAAAUAAAUAUUGAUGGGAGUCUAUAUUUGGAUGAGAUAAGAGGAAUUGCUCUGUGUCCUUCUCACUUGGACCUACUUAUCUCUCAAAUGAGCUAAAGAGUGCUUGAUUAGCCUGAAUAUCCUAUACAUUUUUUGCCAUUCAAUUUCAUGGGAAGAAAUUCAUUGUUGUUAGAAUGCAUCAUUGUGUAAUUACUAAUUAAGGAUCUGAGAGAGACUGAAGGUACAGUGGUCAUUUUCAAUAUCUAUUUAUUUUUUGAAGUUUGAACCAUGUACAUUUCUUUUAUGCUAAUUAUAAAUUUCUAUUUUUCUUUCUUCUUUUUUUUUUUAACAGGAUUUUUAAAACUUGACAGUUACAGAUUUCUCUGAUUGUCAAUUUCUAACAAGCAUCUCGGACCUUUCAAAGAACUCACAUUUGAAGGAUAAGACUCAUUUAGUUGAAGUUCACCAUUCUAUUGGAUUGCUCAAUGAGCUUGUUCCUUUCAAUCAUAAUCAAUGCAAUAGCCUCAGGAAUCUUCCCAGAAGACUGAAGUUGGAUCUUUAAAAUCACUUGACCUUGAAGGUUGCUCAAGCCUUCAAAGCGUUCUUGAAUUUGAAUGUUCAAUGGAAACUUUAGAAUACAUUAACCUUUCCUACUCUGCGUUCAAAGAAAUAUCUCCAUCUAUCAGGCAUAUCAUUGGUCUUCGGGUUUUAUAUCUAGGAGGUUGCCAAAACUUUUUGCAUAUCUCAAAUUACAUUCUUCAGUUGCAGCAGAUGAAGACACUUUCUUUGGAGCUUGAAUAUGAAAGAAGGUGGAGGGUAAAGGACAGUGCGGUAUGCAUUUUGCUUUGUCUACAAAUGAAUAUGAAACUUCAUCAAGUGGAGAAUCACUCUCGUUGCCACAUUUGAAUACAAAUCAGGUCUCUUUAAGGCAAUAUAAUACUUUCGUAGUUUGGAGGAUACUAUUAGUCUUCCCACAUUCAUCAUAAUUGUUGUUGGAUUGAAGCACCUUGUUGACGGAUUGGCUGCAACUUUAAGGAAUUAUAAAGCAUCAAUCCAAUAUAGAGCAGGUGUGUUAAUGGAUCGAUGCAUCUCAUUGGAAAGCUUUCCAGAAUAUAAAGAAGUUCCAAGUCAAAAUCAGCAACUUAAGAGCACUUGGAUAUAUUGAAUUGCUCAAAUGUCAUGACACGGACAUCUAAAUGACUAUUUUGGCGGCAUUAUUCUUUUGGGAGAUACGAUUCCUGAGUGGUUCAACCACUAUAACGAGGCUUCAAAUAAUACUAAAUCAUGUGAAAUAGAUAUCGAUGGGAGUGAUCUACAUUUGGAUGAGAUCAGAGGAAUAGCUCUUUGUGUUGUUAUUAAAGCAGAUUUUGAAAGCUCUACAUUCCAUCUCUUCCAUUUUCGAGUGUUGAGAUCAUUAUUAACUGUGCACAAAUAAUAUAAUAGCUCUUUGUGUUGUUAUCAUAGGGAGUUCUAAUUUGCUCUAGAGGCUUUUAAGCCAAACAGGAAAGGUCUAAAUCUUGACACAGGGAUUUCAGAAUCUGGAGAUCAUGUAUGGUAGAAGUACUUUGCUCUAGAUUAGCCUUUUAAGCUAAUGGGUAAGAUCUGAAUGUUGAGUUUUAUUGUAAUUCAAGCUCAUCAUACAUUAAGAGUCGCGGAGUCGAUUUGCUACAUAAGCAUGCAUGUAGAGAAAGCAAAAGAUCAUUAAGAUGUCCUCUAUCUAUCAACAUGAUUACGACUUGAAUCUAA
Long non-coding RNA from Carya illinoinensis, 4849 nucleotides. RefSeq lists it as uncharacterized. The transcript has 3 exons. NCBI's taxonomy places the organism in Eukaryota, Viridiplantae, Streptophyta, Magnoliopsida, Fagales, Juglandaceae. The record is from RefSeq and is a predicted model, not a curated record.